Molecule: ribosomal RNA, 253 nt
Filed under: uncultured bacterium
Lineage: Bacteria
Description: partial 16S ribosomal RNA
Rfam family: Bacterial small subunit ribosomal RNA
Source: RNAcentral
UACGUAGGGGGCAAGCGUUGUCCGGAUUUACUGGGCGUAAAGAGCGUGUAGGCGGCCACGCAGGUCCGUUGUGAAAACUGGAGGCUCAACCUCCAGCUGUCGACGGAAACCGUGUGGCUAGAGUCCGGAAGAGGAGAGCGGAAUUCCUGGUGUAGCGGUGAAAUGCGCAGAUAUCAGGAAGAACACCGAUGGCGAAGGCAGCUCUCUGGGACGGUACUGACGCUGAGACGCGAAAGCGUGGGGAGCGAACAGG